This 253-nucleotide ribosomal RNA is filed under the name uncultured bacterium. Its description in RNAcentral is "partial 16S ribosomal RNA". It matches the Rfam family "Bacterial small subunit ribosomal RNA", at positions 524 to 776 of the family's 1533-position model. The record is from RNAcentral.
UACGUAGGGUGCAAGCGUUGUCCGGAAUUAUUGGGCGUAAAGAGCUCGUAGGCGGUUUGUCGCGUCUGCUGUGAAAACCCGAGGCUCAACCUCGGGCCUGCAGUGGGUACGGGCAGACUAGAGUGCGGUAGGGGAGAUUGGAAUUCCUGGUGUAGCGGUGGAAUGCGCAGAUAUCAGGAGGAACACCCAUGGCGAAGGCAGCAAACUGGUCAUCAACUGACGCUGAGGCGCGAAAGCGUGGGUAGCAAACAGG